Molecule: ribosomal RNA, 468 nt
Filed under: uncultured bacterium
Lineage: Bacteria
Description: partial 16S ribosomal RNA
Rfam family: Bacterial small subunit ribosomal RNA
Source: RNAcentral
GACGAACGCUGGCGGCGUGCUUAGCACAUGCAAGUCGAACGGAAAGGCCCUGCUUUUGUGGGGUGCUCGAGUGGCGAACGGGUGAGUAACACGUGAGUAACCUGCCCUUGACUUUGGGAUAACUUCAGGAAACUGGGGCUAAUACCGGAUAGGAGCUCCUGCUGCAUGGUGGGGGUUGGAAAGUUUCGGCGGUUGGGGAUGGACUCGCGGCUUAUCAGCUUGUUGGUGGGGUAGUGGCUUACCAAGGCUUUGACGGGUAGCCGGCCUGAGAGGGUGACCGGCCACAUUGGGACUGAGAUUCGGCCCAGACUCCUACGGGAGGCAGCAGUGGGGAAUAUUGCACAAUGGGCGGAAGCCUGAUGCAGCAACGCCGCGUGCGGGAUGACGGCCUUCGGGUUGUAAACCGCUUUCGCCUGUGACGAAGCGUGAGUGACGGUAAUGGGUAAAGAAGCACCGGCUAACUACGUG